GUGGGACUGGCGAUUGGGACGAAGUCGUAACAAGGUAGCCGUACCGGAAGGUGCGGCUGGAUCACCUCCUUUCUAAGGAG
RNAcentral lists this ribosomal RNA (80 nucleotides) under Streptomyces sp. NRRL B-1140. Its description in RNAcentral is "partial 16S ribosomal RNA". It matches the Rfam family "Bacterial small subunit ribosomal RNA", at positions 1462 to 1533 of the family's 1533-position model. Lineage: Bacteria; Bacillati; Actinomycetota; Actinomycetes; Kitasatosporales; Streptomycetaceae. The record is from RNAcentral.